Molecule: transfer RNA, 69 nt
Filed under: Tetraclita rubescens
Lineage: Eukaryota; Metazoa; Arthropoda; Thecostraca; Balanomorpha; Tetraclitidae
Description: tRNA-Gln
Source: RNAcentral
UAAUAAUUAGUUUACAGGUAACAGCGCAAUUUGAAUGCGAAGGAAGUAGUGUAAUUCUACUAUUAUUAA